GUGGGGAAUAUUGGACAAUGGGCGAAAGCCUGAUCCAGCCAUGCCGCGUGUGUGAAGAAGGUCUUCGGAUUGUAAAGCACUUUAAGUUGGGAGGAAGGGCAGUAAGUUAAUACCUUGCUGUUUUGACGUUACCGACAGAAUAAGCACCGGCUAACUUCGUGCCAGCAGCCGCGGUAAUACGAAGGGUGCAAGCGUUAAUCGGAAUUACUGGGCGUAAAGCGAGCGUAGGUGGUUUUGUAAGUUGGAGGUGAAAUCCCCGGGCUCAACCUGGGAACUACCUCCAAAACUACUGAGCUAGAGUACGGUAGAGGGUAGUGGAAUUUCCUGUGUAGCGGUGAAAUGCGUAGAUAUAGGAAGGAACACCAGUGGCGAAGGCGACUACCUGGACUGAUACUGACACUGAGGUGCGAAAGCGUGGGGAGCAAACAGGAUUAGAAACCCGUGUAGUCC
RNAcentral lists this ribosomal RNA (450 nucleotides) under uncultured bacterium. Its description in RNAcentral is "partial 16S ribosomal RNA". It matches the Rfam family "Bacterial small subunit ribosomal RNA", at positions 354 to 796 of the family's 1533-position model. The record is from RNAcentral.